CUACGGGACGCAGCAGUGAGGAAUAUUGCACAAUGGGGGGAACCCUGAUGCAGCAACGCCGCGUGGAGGAUGACGCAUUUCGGUGUGUAAACUCCUUUUAUAUGUCAAGAAAAUGACGGUAGCAUAUGAAUAAGCACCGGCUAACUCCGUGCCAGCAGCCGCGGUAAUACGGAGGGUGCAAGCGUUACUCGGAAUCACUGGGCGUAAAGGACGCGUAGGCGGGUUGGAAAGUCAGGUGUGAAAUCCUACAGCUUAACUGUAGAACUGCACUUGAAACUUCUAAUCUAGAGUAUGGGAGGGGGAGAUGGAAUUAGUGGUGUAAGGGUAACAUCCGUAGAUAUCACUAGGAAUACCUAAAGCGAAGGCGAUCUCCUGGAACAUUACUGACGCUAAGGCGUGAAAGCGUGGGGAGCAAACAGGAUUAGAUACCCUUGUAGUC
Molecule: ribosomal RNA, 439 nt
Filed under: uncultured bacterium
Lineage: Bacteria
Description: partial 16S ribosomal RNA
Rfam family: Bacterial small subunit ribosomal RNA
Source: RNAcentral